AGAAACUUCUCUUAGACAUGGAUGUAAUGACAUACUCAAGGCUGAUUGUGUCAACCUGCUAGUCAAAUACUACAAGGAAGCAAAGCGUGCAAUAUGUUUGAGUGAGGACGUUGAUCAAGCACAUUCCAAAAGAAAUCAGCAGAGGGCUUCACAUUUAGGAGAGAGAGUCAUUAGUAUGAAAUCCAUGGAGGUUAAGUCAAAAACCAGAGGAGGUGGAAGGUGUUGCAUAUGUUUUGAUCCGUUUUCUCUACAGAACGUAUCAAUUAUUGCCUUCUUUUGUUGUCAUGCCUACCAUACAACUUGUCUCAUGGAGUCCACCAUUUCCAUUGGUGGCGAUAAAAAAGAGGCUGGGGCUUCUUCCAAGGGCACUGCGUCAUAUUUUGAAUUUGAUAAUGGCAGUGAUGACGAUGAUGAAGAAGAAGAUGACGAAGAUGCUUCUUCAGGUACCCCUCGGAUGCGUUGUAUUUU
RNAcentral lists this unclassified non-coding RNA (468 nucleotides) under Hevea brasiliensis (rubber tree). Lineage: Eukaryota; Viridiplantae; Streptophyta; Magnoliopsida; Malpighiales; Euphorbiaceae. The record is from RNAcentral.